This 1419-nucleotide long non-coding RNA is filed under the name Salmo salar (Atlantic salmon). RNAcentral's name for it is "lncRNA (ENSSSAG00000105639.1)". The record is from RNAcentral. Lineage: Eukaryota; Metazoa; Chordata; Actinopteri; Salmoniformes; Salmonidae.
UAAAGUGGAAAGGAGGGGAAAUAACUCACAUCAUGAAGCAGGACACCUUCAGCUGCGGGGUCUUUGUAAUGCAGGUUUGAUAGUUAGUUUUUCAAUAUUGAAUGGUUAGCUGUUAUGUGACAAUUAGGUCAAAACUCUAUUUUAUUUUUUGGUGAAGAUGGCCAAGGAAGUUGCACAGGACUUCCCCAACAUCCCCUCCCAAAUUGAUAUAGAACCUUCACAAGAACACAUGGAGCAACUGCGAAAAGAAAUGACUGAGGAUAUACUAAAAAUGUCUGAGUUCAACAAAGCCAACAACUGCUUCAUGUGUGCCACUGAUAAAGAACCUGGAUGUGGCCCAAAGACUGACUGGCAUGUUUCACAUUGUGGACUUUAUAUCUGUGGAGAAGAAGGAGACCGAAGUUGUGCCUUCAUCAUGGGUCCAGGAUGGCAUGAGCUACUGGCCCCCUUAUACAUCCACAGGACGCUGCACAAGGGCAGUGAAACGUCAAGAAGCACCUGACGAAACAUGGGAUUUGUUUGAUGUGAACAUCAGGUUCGCUAGAGACACAUGAAGAUGUUCGCCAUAAGCUUCCUUUUACUGGCUGUGGUCUAAUCUGAUCUUCAGACUGAGGAGGAGGAUGACCGCCAUGCAUAUAUGAAGAGAAAAGGAAGGGGCACAAAUAAGCAAAUAUUCAGUGCCACUGAAAGUGAGGAUGAGGAGCCAAUGGAAAAGUUUUCACGCAAGGGCCAGUCCAACACCUCUAAGGGUUUGCCACCUGCACCAGUUAUCAGACCUCCAGAGCACAGAAGAGAGAUACCUGGAAAUUCUGAUAGGCCAACAAGGCUUGAGCAAAACAUUCAACGGCAGCAGCAGCCAGUGUGUGAUCCAAUUCUUCGUGAGAUCUUAACCUCCAUAGAAAUGAUUAAGCAAAAGCAAAAGCUGAUUUUGCCGCAGCUGCAAAAGCUCCAGGUGAACAGAUCAACCCUGGAUGAGGUUCCAGAUUUGACAGACCUUUGACUUCCAAUGUCCUUGCUGGAAGACUUGAGGAGAGUGGAGGGCCAACAUUCAGAUCAAGACUUAAAAAAGAACCUGACCAUGUAUUUGAGACUGUCUGGAGGGAUGACCACCAAGGAGAAUGUGUGGAGAAUCCUUUCAAAACUCCUUACAAAUGUCCUGGCCAUGAAAAUGAAUUGGAGAGGGGCCAAUGGGAAAUAGGCUUUUGAACCUCUUGCCUUAAAAAGUGUUGUUAUCGGUCCUGUGCGGCGCAGCCAUUCUGAAGUUCCUGAUGUGGAGAUAGAAAAAUACGUAAAACGAUGGAUGCAGCUAGCCCCCGACAGAGAUGGAGGGAGAGAAAGGAGAGAGCGAGUGAGAAGUGACCAGACCUUGGAGGAGUGAUGGAGAAAACCGAAUGCCUAGCAGAGCUUAAAUAGAACGAA